Molecule: ribosomal RNA, 497 nt
Filed under: uncultured bacterium
Lineage: Bacteria
Description: partial 16S ribosomal RNA
Rfam family: Bacterial small subunit ribosomal RNA
Source: RNAcentral
GAUGAACGCUGGCGGCGUGCCUAAUACAUGCAAGUCGAGCGAACAGACGAGGAGCUUGCGCCUCUGACGUUAGCGGCGGACGGGUGAAUAACACGUGGAUAACCUACCUAUAAGACUGGGAUAACUACGGGAAACCGGAGCUAAUACCGGAUAAUAUAUUGAACCGCAUGGUUCAAUAGAAAAAUACGGUUUUGCUGUCACUUAUAGAUGGAUCCGCGCCGCAUUAGGUAGUUGGUAAGGUAACGGCUUACCAAGGCAACGAUGCGUAACCGACCUGAUGGGGUGAUCGGCGACACUGGAAGUUAGCCGCCGUCCUUGCUCCUACGAGAGGCACCAGUCGGGAACCUGCCGCAGUAGUCGAAAGCUUUACGGAGCAACGCCGCGCGAGUGAUGAAGGCCUUCGGAUCGUAAUACUCUGUUUUUAGUGAAGAACCAAUGUGUACUUAACUAUGCACUUCUUGACGGUACCUAAUCAGAAAGCCACGGCUAACUACGUG